AAUGAUGGUUUUAGGGUGACUCCCCUUUUCUGAUAACACCCAAGGCCAGAGGUACCUUCUGCUAAACAUAUAUCAAAACCUUCUGCUGAACAGUCAUAACGAAACCUUCUGACGUCUAUAAAAGGAGUUAGCUCAAAUAAACAAGGUGUGUCAUUCACUGAACCUCCACUCUGGUGGGCAGUUGAUUGAAUGCACCCUGAGACUCAGCACGUUGGUGUCUUGUUUUUUCCUCUCUCUUUGGACAAAGAAAACGAACACGCAAGGACGAUUGAAGGUUCCAUAAUCUAUUGAACAUUGACAUUAUAUUACGUCCUUAACAGAUGGUGACCCUGCGUCGUGAUUUGUCUGAUAGGAGAGGUUAAUUUUGGUCAUCAACUACUUGGCCUGGACUCACAAACAGAGCGCUCACAAACUAAGGUAAGCAGAGACCUUUUUAACUAAAUUCUGCACAUUGACAGUUACCAAAUUAUUUGUGAGUCCGAGACAAGUAAUUUUUUCUAAAUCAUAAGUUUUGUGUGACUCGAGAGAUAGAGAAAUCCUACAACAAAGGUUGUGGAAGGUUAGCCUCCAAUCACGACAGAUUGGAGAAGGUUAUCCUCCAGUGACGACUGGGGAAGGUUACCCUCUGACGACGGUCAGGGAAGAUUUACCAGUAUUAAAAGCUUUACAGGCAUCCAAUCGGACGGCGAUAAACCACCUGCAUCUGUUUGGCCUCGAGUGAUAAAGAAGAAGUGGUCUGAACCGAGGUGGACGGGACCGUUCACCGUGACUGCGAGGACUUCACACGCCUACCAACUUGAAGGAAAAGGGACUACCUGGUUCCUCAGGUCACAAUGUCGUGUUGCCAAACCACUUUGAUUGUUUCAUUAGUGUUGCAUUUUUUUUGCCUCAAGUUGUAUUCGGCAAAAAGGGGGAAUUUAGUAGACCAACAAUUCGUAGCGUAGGAGAAAGGGUAAACAUUUUAGCUUUAGCCACAGGAUACACACAACAAAACCUGUGGAUAGCCUACUUACAAGAAACGGCCUGACUUGGCAAUUUUGGGGAUUGUAUAAUGUGUGCAGCCGCACGACCAAUUAUGGAUAUUGAUUCACUAAAUUGCAUGAUUGAAAUAUACAAAAUAAACCAUAACGUUAGCUCUCGAUGCGCGAAGUAUGAGAAUAUGUGGCCAAAAUUACCUAAAAGUACAGUACCACUCAUGGCCCAUUAUGCAGAAGGAAAUUACACUUGUUUAAAUGACAGAAUUAACCAGAACAAAACUAAGUAUGUGGGGGUAUUUCCAUUUUGUCAUAAUAUAAUAGAUAUCACUACAUGGGGAAAUAUUACGAUAUUGAGCAAAAGGUCUUUAGGUGAUUUGGCAUAUAUGUGUGAAAUUAAUGUAGUAAGAGCUGUAUUACCUGACAAAUGGAAAGGGCCAUGUAUAAUGAUUUCCUAUGUGGCGUCAACCACUGUAAUUUUCGCCAAGGAUCAAAUAACGAGACCAAAAACAGAAACUAUUGUGAGGUCAAAGAGAUCAAUCAGCGAUAAUUGGUCAGAGGACAGAACCACAUACAUAGAUGGCAUUGGAGUGCCCAGAGGGAGUUCCAAAUGAAUACAAACUGAUUGAUCAAAUUGCAGCAGGAUUUGAAAAUAUGCCCAUCAUCUCUGCAUUUUUCCCAGUAACUCCAAACAAGAAUGUGGAUAGGAUCAACUUUGUGUAUUACCAUUUGCAAAGAGCAGUAAACUUAACCAGUGAUGCCAUUGAAGGCUUAGCUGAACAAUUGGCCCCCACUUCCCUAAUGGCAAUUCAAAACCGCAUGGGCUUUGACAUGAUCCUUGCCGAAAAGAAUGGUGUUUGUGCAAUGUUUGGUCCACAAUGUUGUACUUUUAUUCCCAACAACACAGCCCCGGAUGGAAAAGUAACGAGAGCCCUACCAUGGGUUACAAACUUUGGCUGCUGAAAUGGCAGAUUCAACAGGCGUUUCCAACCGCCUGGAAGAUUGGGCUACGGUGUGGUUUGGAAAAUGGAAACACCUUAUGGUCACGGGAGUGGUGGAAAAGAAUAUGAACCAGCCGGAAUCACAGAUGUUGAUGACCUCCGAAGGAGCUCCUACUCCUUAAGUUCUGCUCACACAAGACGACGUCGUGUCCAGAUGGAUGAAUUAUUGAUUAAGAAUAUACAGUGUCUAUUCUCUUAGCAUGUUACGGGACUUGUCUUUUUCCCUCCUCAAAUCACUAUAUGGGGAGGUUUUUGGCCUGUCUCAAGAGUAGUACUGCCUUAUGAAGAAUGCUUAGCUCAUGACUAAGUAGUUUAUAUAUCCUCUUAUAGCCUUCCACAUAGAGUAGCACUGCUUAGGGUAUGUUACAUAGUUCCACUAUGUAAACAGGGGAAUUGUUGGAUUAUUCUAUUUGUACUAAUGAAGCUAUGUUCUUUUCUUUCACAAUUAAGUUCCAUUUCCAAAACAUCCAAGGCCAGAGAGAGGGGUGCCCACAUCUUAGGAUGACUCCCUUUUUUUUCUUUAUAGCACCCAAGGUAGAUUACUGAAGAAUGAUGGUUUUAGGGUGACUCCCCUUUUCUGAUAACACCCAAGGCCAGAGGUACCUUCUGCUAAACAUAUAUCAAAACCUUCUGCUGAACAGUCAUAACGAAACCUUCUGACGUGUAUAAAAGGACUUAGCUCAAAUAAACAAGGUGUGUCAUUCACUGAACCUCCACUCUGGUGGGCAAUUGAUUGAAUGCACCCUGAGACUCA
Long non-coding RNA from Phyllopteryx taeniolatus (common seadragon), 2729 nucleotides. RefSeq lists it as uncharacterized. The record is from RefSeq and is a predicted model, not a curated record. The transcript is spliced from 2 exons. Lineage: Eukaryota; Metazoa; Chordata; Actinopteri; Syngnathiformes; Syngnathidae.